Long non-coding RNA from Aricia agestis (brown argus), 301 nucleotides. RefSeq lists it as uncharacterized. The record is from RefSeq and is a predicted model, not a curated record. Lineage: Eukaryota; Metazoa; Arthropoda; Insecta; Lepidoptera; Lycaenidae. The transcript has 2 exons.
UUGUAUUUGCAUCAGACAUCAACUGAAUUUCGAGUUAAAAUCUAUCUUGCAGCAUGAAGAACUUUUUGGUGAUUUUUGCAGUUUUCUUCGCACUGAUGGCGCUUACCAGUGCCAUGCCGCAGCAAGGAGCCGAGGAAGGUGUGGUGUUGCCCCAGGAGAAUGACAUUUGCAAACCCGAGGAGUGCGACAAGUUCUGCAAAGAGCUCAAGUUUAAGAGUGGCGCGUGUGAUGGUGACUGGUGCGUUUGCACACCUUAAACGAUGUUCUAUAUCCAGACAAUAAAGGCUAUAUUGCAUUGUGA